CUUUUGUUUGAGAAAAGACCAAGAAUUGGGUGGAACACUAUGAGAAGGAUCCGAAAGCUCCAAUGGCUAGACUAUUGAACAUGAUAUUUGAGAUUUUUAAAUGUUUUGUCUUUUUGAUGAACGAGGCAUCUUUUAAUCAUGGUGAAAGGGAAGCUCUGAGAUCUUGUAUAAAUGCUUUGAAUUUCUGGGCUACUGAGAUUUGGUGGGAGUUACAAGACUUCACCCUCAACAUAUUGAAAAGGAUUAUAGAUGAGCUCAUUAUCAACGUAUCAUUGUUCCAGAAAUGGGCAUUAGUGCAGUAUGGAGAACUGUAGUAUUUAAGAUGGAGACUUUCAUCAAAUGCUCCCUCAGA
RNAcentral lists this unclassified non-coding RNA (352 nucleotides) under Hevea brasiliensis (rubber tree). Lineage: Eukaryota; Viridiplantae; Streptophyta; Magnoliopsida; Malpighiales; Euphorbiaceae. The record is from RNAcentral.